Molecule: long non-coding RNA, 809 nt
Filed under: Fragaria vesca (wild strawberry)
Lineage: Eukaryota; Viridiplantae; Streptophyta; Magnoliopsida; Rosales; Rosaceae
Description: long non-coding RNA (FVES_LNC003562)
Source: RNAcentral
UGUUGUUACUCGUUGGUACCGCGCUCCGGAGUUGCUCCUUAAUUGUUCCGAGUACACUGCAGCAAUUGAUAUAUGGUCUGUAGGUUGCAUUCUUGGUGAAAUCAUGACCAGACGGCCCUUAUUCCCUGGCAAAGAUUAUGUGCAUCAGCUGAGACUCAUUACAGAGGUAUUGUUUCUUUAUCUGCAUACUGAACCUAAAUGGGUCUAUCACUUGUUUGUAUAUUUCAAAUCUCUGGGAAUGAUGCAUCUGAUGCAUGUUUAAAUGAUAAAUCUCCAAAAACUUUAAUUUCCACAUGGGGCAGCAGAGACUAUGCAACUUAGGGUGUCAGUUUUUCUUGGUAAUGCUGAUCAUUCUAAACUUUUGGCCCUUAAACAACUCUAUGUCCAGCUAUAUCCUAAUUUCAAAAGUGAAAGAGGAAGCAGUAUAUUUUCAUUUGGCUAGGUUUAGAUUUCUUGUUGCCAAUAGCAGAAAGUGCACCAACCUGAUUGAUUGGAGAAAAAAAAAAUGAGGAGGAGACGAUGGUUGCCACUUAGAUGAAGGUGUUGUGUCUCAAGAUAUGAAGGAUGAGAAUGUGUUUUCCUUCCACCUAUCUUUGUUAAAAAGUAGUUUUUCUCUUGGCUCAUAUAUACAUUCUGAUUGUGACAACUAGUGCAUUGCUGUCUUCCAUUUCUGUUGAGCAGCUAAUAGGUUCACCUGAUGACUCAAGCCUCGGAUUUUUACGAAGUGAUAAUGCCCGAAGAUAUGUCCGACAACUACCUCAGUACGCAAAGAAGGACUUCUCUGUUGGAUUUCCUAAUAUGUCUGCUGG